This 254-nucleotide ribosomal RNA is filed under the name uncultured bacterium. RNAcentral's name for it is "partial 16S ribosomal RNA". It matches the Rfam family "Bacterial small subunit ribosomal RNA", at positions 524 to 776 of the family's 1533-position model. The record is from RNAcentral.
UACGUAGGGAGCGAGCGUUGUCCGGAUUCAUUGGGCGUAAAGAGCUCGUAGGCGGCUUGGCAAGUCGGGUGUGAAAACUCCAGGCUCAACCUGGAGACGCCACCCGAUACUGCCAUGCUAGAGUCCGGUAGGGGACCACGGAAUUCCUGGUGUAGCGGUGAAAUGCGCAGAUAUCAGGAGGAACACCGGUGGCGAAGGCGGGUCUCUGGGCCGAUACUGACGCUGAGGAGCGAAAGCCGUGGGGAGCGAACAGG